This 254-nucleotide ribosomal RNA is filed under the name uncultured bacterium. RNAcentral describes it as "partial 16S ribosomal RNA". It matches the Rfam family "Bacterial small subunit ribosomal RNA", at positions 524 to 776 of the family's 1533-position model. The record is from RNAcentral.
UACGAAGGGGGCUAGCGUUGUUCGGAUUUACUGGGCGUAAAGCGCACGUAGGCGGUUUGUUAAGUCAGAGGUGAAAUCCCGGAGCUCAACUCCGGAACUGCCUUUGAUACUGGCAAGCUAGAGUCCGGAAGAGGUAAGUGGAACUCCUAGUGUAGAGGUGGAAUUCGUAGAUAUUAGGAAGAACACCAGUGGCGAAGGCGGCUUACUGGUCCGGAACUGACGCUGAGGUGACGAAAGCGUGGGGAGCAAACAGG